UCACAUAUCAGCUACGGCCACCGGCGACGCCACGCCGCCGCCGCGCGCCUCGUCUCUAAUCCACCGUGGAGAGCUGCUGACCUCUCUCUCCCUCAUUCUUCCCUUCCCCCUCACUCAGAAGAAACGGACAAAAUCCGCCCAGCCAGCCGCCGCCCUAGGCGAAAGGCGUCGCCUCCGACCGCCGUUUGCCCAACGGCCCAGGGCCGCGCCUGAAAAGCCUGAUGCACCAUCGCCGCCUUCGGCCCAUCUCCUCCUCUCUUCUCCUUCACAGGCGCGCGCCGCCGGGAGGCCCCCUCUCCUCUAAUCAAGCAAUGGCAGAAAAAGGAGCCACCCCCUCCAAUUUCGACCUUCGGCGAAAUCGCCGCCUUAUCUCACCCUAUCUUUCGUCUCCCAUUCGAUAUCAGUCACCAUCGCUGUCUAUUGAGCGACGACGCCACCCUGAACCUAGAUCCCUAAUCUACGCGACCACUGCGACCCGCCUCUCCGUUGGC
RNAcentral lists this long non-coding RNA (491 nucleotides) under Salvia miltiorrhiza (redroot sage). Its description in RNAcentral is "long non-coding RNA (SMIL_LNC004169)". Lineage: Eukaryota; Viridiplantae; Streptophyta; Magnoliopsida; Lamiales; Lamiaceae. The record is from RNAcentral.